GGCCGUAGCUCAGGGGUAGAGUGCUUGCCUAGCAUGCAUGAGGCACUGGGUUCGAUCCCCAGCACCA
Molecule: transfer RNA, 67 nt
Filed under: Marmota monax (woodchuck)
Lineage: Eukaryota; Metazoa; Chordata; Mammalia; Rodentia; Sciuridae
Description: tRNA.Ala
Rfam family: tRNA (bases 5-63)
About the family: Transfer RNA (tRNA) molecules are approximately 80 nucleotides in length. Their secondary structure includes four short double-helical elements and three loops (D, anti-codon, and T loops).
Source: RNAcentral